This 333-nucleotide long non-coding RNA is filed under the name Zonotrichia albicollis (white-throated sparrow). Its description in RNAcentral is "lncRNA (ENSZALG00000007087.1)". Lineage: Eukaryota; Metazoa; Chordata; Aves; Passeriformes; Passerellidae. The record is from RNAcentral.
CAAGAGUCAAGAUGAAGGUGAGAAGGACAAAACAAAAGAGUAGAGGUGAGAGUUAAUCCCUACAGGUCCCAAGGCAAGGAAGAAGUACUUUGUCUCUGGCUGAGAUCUUCUUUAGACUUGCUUCCAUAGGAUAUGAUGGAAUUAAAUAAGGAUGUAAUUCUGAGCUUCGUGGUCAAGGCACUGGUUUGACAUAAUAAAGGAAUUUAAUGCAUGUGAUCUAAAGACAGGUGCCAUUUCCCCUCUCCGGUGGAUCGUUGCUUCUGUACUUGGUGUGCAUGUAGCGUCCCCUAGUGAAAUACCAUCUCUCUUCCCCUGCCCCUGGCUCCCCCAGCA